Molecule: long non-coding RNA, 1705 nt
Organism: Canis lupus familiaris (dog)
Lineage: Eukaryota; Metazoa; Chordata; Mammalia; Carnivora; Canidae
Exons: 3
Source: RefSeq, a predicted model, not a curated record
GGGCGCCCUCGGCUGCUGCCCGGGUCCCCGGUGCCCGGCCGCUCCGUCUGCUGCUGGCAGCCCGUAGGGACGAGCGCGGCGGCCGGGAGACGGUGCACCCCUCCCGCCGAAUGCAGGCUAUAGCCGGCAGGGCCGCCAGGUGACCUUCCCGGAGCCACCCAGCAAGCGGGUGCGGGAGCUGGGGCCGGGACCGAGUCGCCUGGCCCCGCCAGCUCUGCUGCCAACCGAGUCGCGGCCCGGGGCUCGAGAUGGAGCCCCAAGGGGGCCCUCCCCAGCCCUCUGGAGUGUGGCCUCCGAGCGAGGCUCGGCCCGACGACACACGGCCGCAUCCGCAUUUCCCAGUAGCGUGGGAGAUGGCUUCUUCGCAGAUACGGCCUGCCUUUCACAGAUGAGGGGCCGAGGCUGGUGACUUGGAGCCACCGAGAACCCGCAGGUCCAGACUCAGCCUAAUGGGUUUCUGACAGGCCUGCGAGAGUGGACUAGGGGCUUGGCCUCUUGCCAGCGACAGUACAGUGCUGGAAGUGAGCACCCAUAACCUCAGCCCAUUUAGGUGGAACUGCAACAGAAGGGCGGGAAAGCUGCCUGCAGUGUUGACCAGGUUUGGUUAAAAUACACUAUCAGGCUUCUCUCAAAAAACAGCAAAAUAGGUGACGAUUUUGUUGUCAUUGGACUUGGUGAAACUGGAAUCCUGGCAGGAUCACCAUCUUUUGAUGGGAUGCAAGAUUUUGUAGUUUACACCAUACUUGGACCAGCUGGGUUUCUUCCAUAGGACAACCGCACAUUAUAGGUGUCCUCCGAUUUUCUUAACAGGAUGAGCAGGGGCCAUGUCUGUCUUGCUCAUUACUGUAUCCUCCCCUGUACCUGACGCUCAGACGUUCAAAGAUUUUUGACUGGAUAAAUCAAAUUGUAUGGAUGGGGAGUUGAGACUUAAAAUGAUAUCUUUUGACACAGAGGCAGAGGCUCUUUUCAAUUCCAUUCAAUCUCCCAGAAUCAGAGCCUGUUAAAACCCAGGAAAGGGCCCUCCGAGGCCAUCCAGUCCAUUCCCCUCACUUCACAGAGAAGCUGUGAGCUGGACGCUUCACAAAACACAUCUCCUAGCCUUCAACCCAGUUUUAAUAUGGCGUCAUUCAUCCAUUGCAUCACCUAUGGAGUGUCCACCGUGCUUCUUCCUGGCUUGCCGUCCCACCUGCCCUUCAGCUUGUAAACCCAUCUGCUCUGAGAGGGUUGCCUGGACAGUUUGAAUGGACUCCUGGGUUCCAGAGUCAGCAUAUUUGUAUUUGAAUCCCAGUUUGCAUGACCUUAGGUGAGGAAACGUCACUUUCCCCAGAAAACAAGACAUGGUGAAGCUGCAGUUCUCCAGCUCUGACUCCAUCAUGUUCUACAGCCUCUUGAGGGCAGUCCUGUCUCUCUCCAUAGUGGAUGUACCCCUCAGGACUCUUUCAGUUGUAAGUGCCAGAAAUCCAACUCAAAAUUAAUGGCUUAUGUGGAAAAAAAAUUUAUGUGCCAGAAUAUGCACUGUGACAGAAAGGUUAAGGAGUUCAGGCACAGCUUGAUCCAGGUACUCAACUGAUGUCAAGAAUAUGUCAGUCUUGGGGAUCCCUGGGUGGCUCAGUAGUUUGGCACCUGCCUUUGGCCCAGGGCAUGAUCCUGGAGUCCCGGGAUCGAGUCCCGUGUCGGGCUCCCGGCAUGGAACCUGCUUCUCCCU